GACGAACGCUGGCGGCGUGCCUAAUACAUGCAAGUAGAACGCUGAAGGAGGAGCUUGCUCUUCUGGAUGAGUUGCGAACGGGUGAGUAACGCGUAGGUAGCCUGCCUGGUAGCGGGGGAUAACUAUUGGAAACGAUAGCUAAUACCGCAUAAUAGUAGAUGUUGCAUGAUAUUUACUUAAAAGGUGCAAUUGCACCACUACCAGAUGGACCUGCGUUGUAUUAGCUAGUUGGUGGGGUAACGGCUCACCAAGGCGACGAUACAUAGCCGACCUGAGAGGGUGAUCGGCCACACUGGGACUGAGACACGGCCCAGACUCCUACGGGAGGCAGCAGUAGGAAUCUUCGGCAAUGGACGAAAGUCUGACCGAGCAACGCCGCGUGCGGGAAGAAGGUUUUCGGAUCGUAAAGCUCUGUUGUAAGAGAAGAACGAGUGUGAGAGUGGAAAGUUCACACUGUGACGGUAUCUUACCAGAAAGGGACGGCUAACUACGUG
Molecule: ribosomal RNA, 494 nt
Filed under: uncultured bacterium
Lineage: Bacteria
Description: partial 16S ribosomal RNA
Rfam family: Bacterial small subunit ribosomal RNA
Source: RNAcentral